Aethalodelphis obliquidens (Pacific white-sided dolphin) is the source of this 2031-nucleotide long non-coding RNA. RefSeq lists it as uncharacterized. The record is from RefSeq and is a predicted model, not a curated record. The transcript is spliced from 3 exons. NCBI's taxonomy places the organism in Eukaryota, Metazoa, Chordata, Mammalia, Artiodactyla, Delphinidae.
UGUAAAGAGCAGAGGGGAACAGCACGUCAUUUCGUUAUUUACGUUUCCUGCGUGCAAAGGAAGGGCAGUAAAGCAGGUGGGAGCUCCGAAGCAGAGCCAGGAGACCGUGACGCCCAGCGAGACCCGGCCGUGCUUUCCUCACCACCUGCACGUGGGACUUCUUGGAGACUCACGGGAAUAUAGAGUUUUUAAACGUUUACUAUGGAAUCACUUUAGAUUUACACAAGAUUUGCAAAGACAGUACCGAGAGUUCCCGUAUACCUACACCCAUUUGUCCCCAGAGUUAACAUCUUACACAACCAUAGUCACAUUGGUCACCAUGAAGAAGUCAACACUGGUACAGUGCUGUUAACUACACUCUGGAUUUUAUCUGGGUUUUACUAGUUCGGGAACUAUAUGUGUUUACGGUUUAUAUUUUUUACUAUAAAAAUAAUGCAUGCUCACUAUUGUAAAAUGUUGAAAGAUUUGACAUUUAUCCUUGUAGACAAGUUGGAAAAUACAAAAAAGUUUAGAAAAGAAUUGAUAACCCGUAGUUCACCCAGAGACAACCAUCGUUAGCAUCUUAGUGUAUUUCCUUCCGGUCUUUAUUCUAUAAGUCAUUUUCAUUUGUUUGAUGUAAUCAAAUCACUAUUUUUUAAUGCAAUUUUGUUAAAAAAAAAAAAGCUAUAUUUAAUAGACUAGCUUUUUGGGGGGAGGGGUUUUUUGUUUUUAAUUUUUAUUGGCGUAUAGUUGAUUUACAAUGUUGUGUUAGUUUCAGGUGUACAGCACACUAGUUUUAAAUGCAGAUAUGCAAAGAGCUGCAGUGAUUUUUCUCUCCCUAGUGGUAGAGCACUUCACUUAGGUUCAAUUUCUGCAACCCACAGCUGAUCAUCAAGUGACCUUUCUGUUAAGGUGUGUUUCUUUCUUCUCAUUCUGCCCGUGAGGGACCCACAGGGCGGCAUGAGGGGCCUGGAGACUUGCCUCGGGGCACGUUUCCUUGAGGAUGGGAUGGGGGCUGGAAUGCAGGUCCCCUGCCUUGGCCGGGAGGUCUGUCCAGUGCAUUCUGCUGACUCACAAGAUCCCUUUCACCCAGUUCUUCCUGAUGCAUUUGACUCACUUCCUGUGCUCUCCUUCCUGUUUACUGCCCAAGUGGGAGAAGACACAGGCCCAGACAUCACGGGGAGGGCCCAGGCUCCCAGGACGGCUCAGUCCACAUCCAUCCCUUCCCCUCGGCUGCCCUUUCCUUUCCUGAUCCCGUCUCCCCUCCGCAGUUUUCCAAGGCCACUCGGGUCCUCUGGGGCGCGCCCAUGGCAGACUCAGGAGGAGCCCAGACAGAAGUGAAACGUCCCCUGGUCCCGGCUUUGAGCUGGCAGACGUUGGCCAAGGACUCGUACAGCCCAUAGUUGAGAUGGGGUUGGCCACGAGGACGAGCAGCAGAGGCAAGUACGUGGUGACAUAGUGGGGGAUGGCGUGCUCCAGACCCCUGUCACACCUGAGGGAGGAAAGCCGGGUCAUUCUCCAAAACACCGGGGCUUUGCCUGAGAUACGCUGACUCAUCUGCAAGUCGAGACAAGAGGACCAGAUCGAAGGAAACACACAGAUCGGCUUCUGACUCUGCCCGAAGGAAACCUGACUCCUAUCUCACGUCUGCGGACAAGCGAUCAAUCUCAGAAGAAGGAGGGUCACUCAUGGUUCUGUGUGUCUCGUGAAUCAGGGAGCUUUCAAAGUUCCCUGCUGGGAAAAGCUGAAGAGGGGAAAAGGCGCUCUGGGGUGGUGGAUCCCCCCCAACUCCCCCACUGGGUCUCUCAAACAAGUGGGUCUCCCCCAUUUGUCUUUCAAACAAGACAAAGGCGUUCUACGAACCUGCUGGGUUUUCGGCACUUACUACGCAUGUGCUAAGUCUGGCUGACAUCACGCAUAGGAUCCAAGCUCUGUCCUCGACCAGCUCAAAAUACCCGAGCCUCACACGGCACAGGAUAUCUGUUGUCAUGGUGACAGGUAUGAAGUGCUCACACCAGAGGGGAAAGUGGCUGAAAGUGCAUGGAAACAGGG